RNAcentral lists this unclassified non-coding RNA (345 nucleotides) under soil metagenome. RNAcentral's name for it is "partial contains 5.8S ribosomal RNA, internal transcribed spacer 2, and large subunit ribosomal RNA". The stretch from base 1 to 120 matches the Rfam family "5.8S ribosomal RNA", at positions 35 to 154 of the family's 154-position model. The record is from RNAcentral.
GAUGAAGAACGCAGCGAAAUGCGAUACGUAAUGUGAAUUGCAGAAUUCAGUGAAUCAUCGAGUCAUUGAACGCACAUUGCGCCCCCUGGUAUUCCGGGGGGCAUGCCUGUCCGAGCGUCAUUGCUGCCCUCAAGCACGGCUUGUGUGUUGGGCCUCCGUCCUCCUCCCGGGGGACGGGCCCGAAAGGCAGCGGCGGCACCGCGUCCGGUCCUCGAGCGUAUGGGGCUUCGUCACCCGCUCUUGUAGGCCCGGCCGGCGCUUGCCGACACAUCAAUCUUUUUUCCAGGUUGACCUCGGAUCAGGUAGGGAUACCCGCUGAACUUAAGCAUAUCAAUAAGCGGAGGA